CUGAGUCAUUAGUAUGGUUAUAAAACUCACAUGGAGUAUUAAAAACACACGUUGAUUACGGGGUAAUCAAAUGCUUUAGUAAUUUUAUACAUACAUAAAUCUACUAUUUAGGUAUGAAAAACAUCAUUGUGUUACAGUUUUGGAACUUUUAAACUGCCACCCACUUACAGAAAAACAUCGGAUUUUUAGAAGUAAACAUUCAAAACAGUCGGGUCUUGGUAGAAGGAUACUUUUAUACUAGCAGAAAAUUAUGGGAUUUUCUAGAAACUUUUAAAUAUAUCCAAACCAUUCUAUUCAGUUUUAUACAAAAAAAUUACAUUGAACAAUUUCAAACGUUUUCUUCAUACUUAUACAAACAAUGACAUUAAAUACUUAUGAACUCACCAGCUUAAAUGCUGACCUACGCUUUCAAAAUAACUUGUAUUCUCAGGUUGUCAGUAGACAGAUACCGAUGCCAGGUUUUGAGAAGACGAAGCUUAUGUCAAGACUCAUCUUUUAUUUUGAUUAUCCUGUUUAUAUCAUAUUACUAUGAAAGAGCACAUAUGUAUUAAACUAUACUAUUAAUGCAAUGGAUGAUGUUGUUGCUUGUUUACUACUUUGCAUCGUUAUGAUACUGUACAUGAAAUCAUCCACCCCUGAACGUUUCCGCCAUUCUGGUUUGGGGGUGUGACAGAUUGGUAUCAGAUAAUUGUUUAUAGUGAAUUGAGUGUAUCAACCCAUAAAAGAUAUACGAACUAUAAACACAUUGGGAUUAAAGUACUCUGACCAAGAGUUUAUACUUUAAGUACUAAAAUACUUAAUCAAAAGUAUACAAUACCUACAUACUUACUACAGAAUAGUGUCAUACUAGAACAGAACAAAAGUAUUUAAAUUGUUUGACACAACAGUCAAACCUGGGCAGUUAUGUAAUCAUAUAAGGAAUCAAUAUAGCCUGAUCAACUAUAUUCAUUUGUGAUAUGAUAAACAUGUGCUUGGGAGUGAUUGUGGUGUUGCAAACAAACCUAAAACUCACCAAAUUCUAGAUCCUGAGAAUUCAUUAGAACAAGACAAAGUAAAAUACUAUAUGGGUAUUUUAGAUACUAGUCAUUCAAAGAACAAACUUGUUAGGAUUAGCAGUAAGCUUCUCUUAUAGAAACUUUUAUUUGUUUAUCGCCUUGUCUUAGAAGUGUAAAUAAAUUUCUUACCCUCAUUUCUCAUCUAGAUAAAUGGUUGGAUUCCACCUCCCCAACAACCCUUACUUUCCCGACCAAGAGAAUGAAGGAAGGCUAGAUGCAGAACUAGAAGCAGAACCUGCAAUUCCCCUUAAUGCUGAACUUGCUGAAGAUUUCCCAGAGGAUCCUGAACCCGAACCUGAAGUCGAGAACUUACCUCUAGAAGCCCAAAUCCCAAUUCAGAACCCUCAUCAAGACUUUCAUGGUCUGACGCCCCUAUCGGUGGAAAGCUUAGAGACAUGGAAUCAAGAAGAAGAUCAACCUAUACCAUACAACGGAGACAGAAGCUUCUACAACGUGAGCGAAGGGGGCUCAGCAGACGGAAUUCUGCCAAUCAUGGUCCGCAUGAUUGCUUGCAAUGAAAUACAAGGCAGGACAACCAUCAACCGAAUCGUGGAUUUGUUGCCAAUAUUAGGAUGAAUACACUUCACAUCUGUCGUCUGGAAGAUGCUCGUGACCAAGCAUUGUGGGACAACGAAACUUUACUACAAGGAUUAGCUGAGACUCGAGCCGAAGUCAUAGAGCUCCGAGUACGCCAGAGGGUGUACGAAAGACACCUACUAGAUAUGGAGCGUCAACUGGCUAAACUAAGGAUUCAUCCGAGGGAUACCCGUCACCAGUAGGAGAUGCUUUACCUUCUUUCCUUUCAGUUUAAGGAAUAGUCUUCCUAUCUAUGCUCUAAGUAGCACUUUUUUUUUCAAUGUAACUAUCCCAGUAUUUUAAGUUCUAUUUCACUUAGACUUUAUGAUGUCAAAGUCUUUCCUACUCCUAAUAUGAUGUAAGACCUACUCCAAGGUCAAAUUUUCCCGAACCUAUUACAUCAUAAAUAUCAAUGAUAUUGACAGUCGAAUAGUUCCCUAAAAGUCUCUGUCCAUAUACUUUCAUCCUCCAAACAUUAGAACUCUAUCUAAAUCCCACCCUAGUCAAAAUUAUUGGACUAUGGUAACUUAGCUCAUGGAUCACUUCCAAUUCUUUUCGAAAGUUGAAUCAUGUUAUCCACUAUGACAACCCAAAGUUUAUUCCGUUACAUUACCCCGUUACCGUUAACGGAAUAUUCCAUUUUAUAAAAGUUCCGUUAAUUAGAGGUCGCAAAAUAAAUAAACGUUUUAUUAUGUCAUUAUAGUCGUAAUAAAGUAAAUAAAAACACCUAAGUUGCAUUUUCCAUUAAUUGGAAAAAGUAGCUUUUAUUAUUACGACCACUAAAUCGGGUGCGACCAAAAGCCCCGCUUAACGGCAGUAUUGGGUAGAAUCCCACUGAGCCCCAACUCCAACCCCUAUAUAAGGGUGAGUGGAGUCCAUUAGAGACUUUUUACACUCUCCCCACCCUCUCUCUCUCUCUCUACAACUUAAAUUCGAGCCAAAAAUCGUCCGUUUCGAGCCUCAAACGAGUAGGUAAACUAUCCUAACUCGUUGUAUAACUUAUCUAGCUUGCAAUUUCGAGUUUAAAACAUAAAAUAGGGACAUAAUCAUGUGUUUACGGCCCAAGAACACUCUUGGACCGUAAACACCAUUUAUUGGGGUUUUUAAGCCCCAAAACCCCUCCAAAUUGCCCCUAAGGCUUAGAUAUGAUUUUUAGGCUUGCAUAUUCGGACUUAGAACACCUUGAAAUGAGUUUUUGAAGAGUAAACAUGAGUUUACUGCCCAAGAACAUGCUUGGGCCAUAAACUCCUCUUCAUGGGGAGUAAACUCAUUUUUGUGUGUUAAAAAUGCCCUUAAACACACCAAUGGCCUUGGAUUAAAUUCUAGAAUCAACCACCAACAAGCUAGGGACCUUAAACUCAAUUAAAACUACUCCAUAGGGAGUUCACGGCCGUAAACCCCUCAUGAAAGGGUACCUGGUGCCCUAAACUCCCAAUUUGACUUGGAAAAAUGCUUAGGAUUUUAUCCUCUACCAUUUAAGACUUAAAACAUCCAAGGAAGAGGUCCUUGGGAGCUUACGGCCGUAAACUCCCAUGGUUGGGGCCGUAAACUCCCAUUUGGUCCCUUUAAAUGCCUUAAACCCAUUCACACAUUUUAUAUUUGAGGCUAGCAAAAUUCCACAAUUGAUAUGAGGCUUUUAAACACCCUAGAACACCCUCACCAUGAGUUUACGGCCGUAAACUCAUGGGGAGUAGUCCCAGGGCCAUAAACACCCUAUGGUCAGUUUACUCUCGAAGAGUAAACUCCAUUCCUAAGUCAUUCAUGCCCUUAAAUGUUACCCGGGACACCCCAAACACUUAACCAAGUGUUUUCCGCUCUUUAGGGUGUGUAUACUUGUUAAAUUAGUAUUAAAUGUACUAAUUGUAUGUGAACAUAUGUUAUCAUAUGUUAAAUAGGUCACUAAGUGUGUCCAAGUCUCCACUUGACACCGAGCACCCAAUCGGCGCCUUUGUCAGAUCCACUUACACCAGGUGAGUUCAUACCCCUGAAUGAACCUUCUAAAUGUUUUUACAUGUUUUAUAGGGGGGGGGGGAAUACAAGUUAAACAUGUCAGUUAUCAUAUCAACCACAUGUGAUUGAUAACCCGCAUGCACAAUGAUUUACCACACUGUAAACCGUUUUACCGAGUAGGACACUAUAAAUGGUUUUCUAAAAUGUUUUCACUUGUUCAAAACUCUUACUUAUACUGUUUUAACAAAGUUCAUUUUAAACUGAUUUAUGAAAGAUUUCCAAAGAAUUUCUAAAGGUUUUCAAACUCAUUUUACCAAAGAACACCAAGUUGUGAUUUUCCUAAGUAUAAAGGUUUUUCCAAGGUUUUCAUCAAAGUUCUCUUUCUUGUCGUAUACUUUUACUUUUACCUGUCAGAUACCGAUGCUUCUCUUUUACCUAGUUUGAACUCCUACUCGAUUACGCUUCCACUUCAUGAUACGCUUAUACUUCAUAAUUCGAUUAUCCCACACUGUACGCUUAUACUUCACGACUCGGUUAUUCCACUGUAUGCUUAUACUUCACAAGUCGGUUAUUCCACUGUACGCUUAUACUUCACAAGUCGGUUAUUCCGAUGUACGCUUAUACUUCACAAGUCGGUCAUUCCACACGAUACGCUUAUACUUCACGAUUCGGUCAUUCCACACGAUACGUUUAUACUUCACGAUUCGGUUAUUCCACACGAUACGCUUAUACUUCACGAUUCGGUUAUUCCACACUGUACACUUUUACUUCACGAUAUGAUUUUCACUGUUACACAUUCAAGCGUAGUUAGAUGUAUGUCUGUGCUUGUAUAGAUGCAUAUAAAUAAUGAUUGAAGGACUUAGGAAGGCUUGUCCGCCCUAUUUCCUUUUCUUCGUUGAGAUGUGGUCUGGUGGGAUCGGAUGUCCGUCCGAAGGUCGUUUGAUUCAUUAGUUAUAUAUUAUGUACACAAGCAUAGACAUAUAGGUUUACUUUAGUCAGUUCAGUUAUGAGUCUCUACCUCUAGUUCAACACUGUAUUGGAAACACACUACCCACUAUUUGGGAUGCAUCUUCGGGACACGGCCUUCUCCGUCGUCUAGUUGGUAACCAGAGUCUCCUGUAGGGAGAGCGGACAUUGUGUGUAUAGAUCUAUAUGGGAUUGACACCCCCGCACCCUGACUGCUAGCUACAGUCCACGGCCUACCAAGCCAAGGGGUGACAAAUGUCAUAUUCUCUAGACGCUUGUAGGGCGUCAGGUACUCUAGUGUCGGUUAGUAUGGUUACGAGUAUCCCAGGUUACCUUAUAAUUCAUGGCCUUAAGGUAAUGGUUUUUCACCAGCAAUUUACACUGUAUGCUGGAACCCACUUUCGGAGUCACACUGUUUUAGACCUUGCUAGACGUAUCAUUCAGUUGAUACUGUCUGGGGUCUGUGUUCACUGUUUUAGACCUUGCUAGACGUAUCAUUCAGUUGAUACUGUCUGGGGUCUGUGUUCACUGUUUUAGACCUUACUAGAUGUACCUUUCAUUCGGUACCGUUUGGGGUUUGUGUCUCUUUCUGUUAGACUGAGCCAGGCGUGUCGUUCAUUCGAUACUCUCCUGGAGUCUAUGAUUCCUUUUGCCUUAGUCAGCAGUCCUCACUGCUGAGGCAUAUGUUAUUUUCCUUGAUAUUCUCCGAAUUUCUUAAAAAGCAAAUCCCGUAUUUUGAAAAUGAAAGUGUUUAAGGGAAAACUACUUUUUACCACAUAACUCUGACCAGUCUUGGUAGAAGACUGCAUUUUAAAUAGAAAAUAUAGGAUUUUCUGGAAAGGACACUAUUUCACUGUAUACUUGAAAACUACUACUUUUAUUAAAGUUAUUUGAAUAAAAUGUCACUAAAUGCUUAUGAACUCACCAACAUUUGUAAAAAUGCUGAUACUCGCUUUUCAAAUAACUUGUAUUCUCAGGUUAGCAUUAGACAGGUACAUCCCAGGAGCUGUUGAUGAAGAUAGUUUAGUACCACGCUGUACUUAUUUUAUUACUUGUAUUACCUUGUUGUAUUGUAAAGUAAACCAUGUAAAACUAUUACUAUUAAUGCAAUGUUUUGUUGUACUUUGAUUACUAUAAUGCAUGUGUUGUGAUACUUGACAUGACGUCAUCCACCCCAGAACGUUUCCGCCGUUCCAGUUUUGGGGUGUGACAUCCACUAACCAAUGAUAGCCUAGUUCAAAAUAGCAAUCCUAUUGUGACCAUUCUAUGAACUUACUUCUACUCUUUACUAGUACUGCAUUAUAGGGAUGUAGGGCAAACCAUUGAGAUCAGUUUAACCAAAACAAAAAAUUUACAUUUGCAAGAAUGAGUAAAAUACAUCUAGGACCGAUCAUAAUCACUCACGAACUCCUUCUUUUUUCAUAUAGCAGAAUCAUGUCAUCAUCCAGAAAUAAUCAGCCGAACAACAAAACCCCGAUCCUUCAUAUAGACGUCGCUACCUUCCAAGCCGCGGUAACAGCUGCUGUGAAAGCUGUCCUGGCACACAUUAGCUCUGGUAGCGCAAACAAAGCCGACAAAGGGGUUGACAGUUCAGAUUGUUGUAUCAAUACGGGAAAUCAACAAAUGAUAAAAGUCACAGGCGUACAAAGCCGUAAAGCUAAGAAAAAGAAACGGAAGCAUCAAGCCCAAAAGGAGCGCAAGCGAUCCCAAAGACUUUCCAUGCAACAGCAACAAAUGGCGACCUCUGCCACUUCAGCACCGGUCAAACAAUAUAAAGGAAAACUCCCGAAGUGUAACAAGUGUAGCUUCCAUCAUAAUGGAGCUUGUCGUGAAAUGCAAUACUGCAAUUGCAAUAGAAUAAUGCACCUUGCUUGUGGCUGUGGAGCACCAGCACGACCCAUCUCCCAAGUCCCUGGCACCAGAGUCAACCAAGCUUGCUAUGGUUGCGGUGAAAUCGGACACUUUAAAUGGGAUUGCCCUAGAAGGAGGAACAACAAAAGCACUCGAGUCUGCAUCACUCCGACCCUGCACACCACUUCAACCACCGAUGUUGGUGUAAGCCAUAUAUGUCAUAUAUGCGGUGAGAUAGGACACCUCAAGAAGAAUUGUCCAAUAACAAAGAACUCGGGCGCAGACGAGAAAAUUCUAAGGAUCACCGCCGCUGGAGAGACUACUCCAGAUUCACGUUGAAAUUCUAGUACAUUCCAUAGCGUUAAUGUUAGACUUAUAAACUUUUGAAAACCAGUGAAACUAGAGUCAUAUAUUUUGUGGAGAUCCCAUCAGUAUUAGGGACGCUCGUGCUACUCGUACUUACUUGUUGGCAGUAUACUUUGUUCGCAUCUGUAGUAUCAUAGAUGAAAUAAUGUACUAAAACUCUUUCAUAAGUUGUAUCGUUGUGUUUUGUAAUACUGUUUUGAAAUAGUCUAACGCUAGUCAUUCCGACUAAGCCCGAAAUUGUCGUGUGACUUGAGUUGAUCCGACCCUCACAGUGCCCAUUUCGUGCGGAAAUUCUUUUCCCUAUAAUCAACUUUCUAGCCGAGCCGUCAUUCUAGAGCUCCGAAGUACUCAUGCGUAUAGUGCCAUAUGUUCCGUAUCCUUCCCAAAGUAACCUCAGCAAACCUCCUUAGAAUACCACUCGUAUAGUAUGUCAAGCUCAAAUCCAAAGACCCAUAUGGUUAAUCGAUCACUGAGGAAUGUAUACGCAAGGGUGGUACGUAAUCAAAGUUCUACAGGCUUAGAAUUGAUGAUUCUGCUUUAACUUCUUUUCCUUGUUUGGAUGUGAGCUUAAGGAAGAAUCAUUUAUUCGAAUUCCUUUUCAAUCUUAAUUAUAUACGACUCGUAUACGCAAAACUGUGAUUGAUGAACCAAGUAUUAGUUCUAAUAUGAACUUCAGGAUGGAGACUUCUUAAGAUUACGAGUGAUCGUGCUGCCAUGCGAAUAAACUUAGAAGCCAAACACAUGCCCUUCCCGCCGAUCGGGACAAGAGAGUCAGAUGGAACAAAAGUACCUAUCCUUUUCCUUAAUUCAUGAGUAAUCAUACUUUCUUUUAGAUCUUCACAACAUCUAAUCAACCACAAGGUUUUGAUGUCAUAACCAGUAUGAAUUAGUUGAGUCUACAUCAAGCUGACAUCAAGCGCUUUGAGAAAGCAGUUCGUCUUAACCUGCCUAUCGAAGAAUCUCUAGUUAUUUACGAUGACAAAUCAAGUACGAACCUUCACAUCAGUUCGUGUAUUCAAAAUCAGAAGUACUUACGAAAGGAAUAUUAUGCAUUCUUUCCACACAUCGUCGAGACGAGCUGAGAAGUGAAGGACAUUUAGAACAUCCCAGAAGUACGCGACUUGCCCGACACCUUUCCAGAAGGACUACCGGGAUUACCACCACAACAUCAUGUCGAGCUCAAAAUCGACUUAGUUCCAGGGGCUACCCUAGUAGCCAAAUCACCUUAUCGUCUAGCUCCAACUGAGAUGCAGGAACUCCCCAGUGAGCUAAACGAACUCCUCAGAAGGGGAUUCUUUAGGCCAAGCUUCUCACCUUGGGGAGCAACGGACUUAUCUGUAAACAAGAAAGAGUGUUCCAAACGCUAAAGUAAGUCUGGUGCACCGCACCGAUAUUAUCCCUCCCAAAAGGGAUAGAAGAUUUCGUGGUGUAAUGCGAUGCAUCCAACCAAGGGCUUGGUUGUGCUCUUAUGCAAGAGGAAAGGUCACUGUCUAUACCUUAAGACAACUUAAGACGCAGGAAGUUAACUAUACAACACAUGAUCUUGAUGUCAGGAGCAGUGGUAAUUGCUCUGAAGAGCUGGAGACACUACUUCUAGGGUACAAGGUGUAAUAUUUUCACAGACCACAAAAACACUCAACACACAUUCGACCAAGAGUUAUCAUACCAGUGAAGUGAAACGAAAGAAGCAAAGCCGUAUCCCGAUAGUGAAAGGUUCGCUGGAAUGCCAAGCGAGGACUUCAGUUCACCUGGGAACGCAAGCAUCAAAUGAAGCUUCUAUCUGUAGCAAAGUUAUCAAUUCUACUUAAACUCUAAUUUCAGGACAAAAUUCUCUCUAACGGGGGGAUGAUGUGACAACCCGAUAUUUCGAGACAAUGUUAUGUAACACCAGUCAAAUUUAGGUCAAAAUUUAACUUCAAUAAAAUUUUAUUUGCGUUCAAUAAAGUGGUAGGAAUCGUAUCAAGGUUUUCGUACAUAUAAAGAACACUAAAAUCCGAGUUAUAACGAAGAAGUUAUGACCAAUCUAAGAUUCGCAGCAAAAACCGGCAACACUGAUAGACGUAAAACGCGACGUUUCAAUACAAUAAUUUUUAGCCUAAGGUAUCUAAAUGAAAGUUGUAGACAUCAUUAAACCGUAAACGUACAUAAAAAGAACGUCAAAAUCUGACUUCGUAUGAGGAAGAUAUGAUUUUUCCAAGAUCUGGAUAUAGCAGUAGACAGCUAAAAACUCGAAAUAGAGAGACUUUUGCCCGAAACAACCUAAAUGAGAAUCGAAGGUCUCAACAAUAGCAGCGCAAUGGUAAAAAGUCUGGCAAAAACAGACGUCGGAUGAAGAAGUUAUGGAUUUAUGACGGAGUUUGCGUGUCCCGGCCUACUAGAAAUAAUAUAUUAAAAAUAAAUCAGAAUUAGCCAACAAAGUCAAAACGAGAGUUGUAGAGCAUAAUCUCACCUACGCGCCGAUAUAAAGAACGUCGAAAACGGAGUUCGUAUACGAAAGUUAUAAAUUUCUGAAGUUCAGGGCACGAGCCCCAAUGUUGUGUUAGACACCACGACGUGGUAACAGUGCCACGACGUCGCAGGUGCUUUGGAGUCUGUCAGAACCACUUGCGAUGACGCAUGUAGUGACGACCAGCCACCACGACAUGGGAAAAGGUGCCACGACGUGGCACGGGGAAAAUUCAGUCCUGUAAAUAGAAACCGAAGGUCUUAGGUUUUGGCUGUUCAAUUCUACCUUCCUUCCUACUUUUACUCUGUGUCAAGCAUCCCGAGACUACCCCGAAGCCUAGGUAACACCUCCAACACACGACGCAAGUCCCGAAGUCCCGAUAUUUCCGAGAAAUCGAAUUCUUUCCAGUCGAAGUUCUGCCCGACUUUCGUCUCACAUUCUUCAAUCUAUCAAGUGAGUUCAUACCCCUAUACACUACACUUUCAAAUGCUUUAUAAAUGCCUUUUAUACACUUUUAAGGGGAAAGGGGGGAAUACAAUUAAACACACGGUUAUCCUCGCGUGAAUGACAUAAAUCUUUUGUUACACUUUUUAUUAUAUAAUCAAUCAUAUGUGAUUUAUAACUGUGUUUCAAGCAAAUGAUUUCAUAUACUUUAUAACUGCGUUUAGAGAAAAGGUCUCUUUUACUUUACACUGUCUUACCAAACAAACUACGUUUUAAAUUAUUUUAUACAUUGACAUCAAAUCAUCAGUAUUUAUUAUUAAACUAUUUAAAUGUUUUACAAAACUUCCUUUUAAACUUAUAUAUUAUGUGUACAUAUGUAGAUAUAAAAUUACUAUUCAAACAGUUCAAUACCUUUGGGUAGCAAACGUAUACCUUCUUCAAAUUACAUAAAUCACUAGCAAGCAAUUAUAGGUAUUGUUUAGGAGAAAUACUAUCAUAUACAAAUAUUAUAACAUAGAAUACUAUGACAAAGAAUAUUAUAACAGAAUGCAAAACAUGUGACGAUAACGUCUUCUCCUUUUGGGAAUAAAACAUGUUUUAUAUAAAUAUCAAACACUUUAUUUAUAUUUUGAGUAUAAAUGUUCGAUAAUGUUAUUACAAAUGUUAUACUAUACAUACAAAGCCGACACUACACUAGGGUUUACUAUUCAAACGAAACACACUUUUGGAAAAACUAUAAUAGGUAUAGUUUACAAGGUAAUCAUGAGAUUUUACAUACUAUAAAUACUAUAUCAAGGAAAUACUUUCAUAUAAAAGAAGACUUUUCAUACGUAAAUGUAUUUGAUACUAAGUUUUGUGAGACGUUCAGCUUCACCUACUUUCGAGAAUGCAGUUAAAGUUCUGUAUUAUAUACCAUAAUCUCUUGUAAGGAGAGCAUGAUACUUGUGUAUAGAUCUAUACAGGAUUGAUAAUCCCGCACCUAAGCUGUUAGCCACAGCUAGACCGGCAGGUCUGGGGUGACAAACGUCAUAACAUUUUAGCACCUGAAGAACGUUGUGACAGGCAGCCUGAGUCAUUAGUAUGGUUAUAAAACUCACAUGGAGUAUUAAAAACACACGUUGAUUACGGGGUAAUCAAAUGCUUUAGUAAUUUUAUACAUAAAUCUACUAUUUAGGUAUGAAAAACAUCAUUGUGUUACAGUUUUGGAACUUUUAAACUGCGACCCACUUACGGAAAACCAUCGGAUUUUUAGAAGUAAACAUUCAAAACAGUCGGGUCUUGGUAGAAGGAUACUUUUAUACUAGCAGAAAAUUAUGGGAUUUUCUAGAAACUUUUAAAUAUAUCCAAACCAUUCUAUUCAGUUUUAUACAAAAAAAUUACAUUGAAUAAUUUUAAACGUUUUCUUCAUACUUAUACAAACAAUGACAUU
RNAcentral lists this long non-coding RNA (11083 nucleotides) under Lactuca sativa (garden lettuce). RNAcentral's name for it is "long non-coding RNA (LSAT_LNC000716)". The record is from RNAcentral. Lineage: Eukaryota; Viridiplantae; Streptophyta; Magnoliopsida; Asterales; Asteraceae.